Small nuclear RNA from Takifugu rubripes (torafugu), 141 nucleotides. Its record names the gene U4. It matches the Rfam family "U4 spliceosomal RNA". From Rfam's summary of the family: U4 small nuclear RNA (U4 snRNA) is a component of the major U2-dependent spliceosome. The structure of U4 snRNA from yeast and human has been reported. U4 snRNA presents a k-turn RNA motif in the 5p-SL related to recognition of Snu13 protein. The record is from Ensembl. Lineage: Eukaryota; Metazoa; Chordata; Actinopteri; Tetraodontiformes; Tetraodontidae.
AGCUUUGCGCAGUGGCAGUAUCGUAGCCUAUGAGGUUUAUCCGAGGCGCGAUUAUUGCUAGUUGAAAACUUUACCCAAUACCCCGCCAUGACGACUUGAAAUAUAGUCGGCUACGGCAAUUUUUGUAGGUCUCUACGGAGA